This 229-nucleotide ribosomal RNA is filed under the name uncultured bacterium. Its description in RNAcentral is "partial 16S ribosomal RNA". It matches the Rfam family "Bacterial small subunit ribosomal RNA", at positions 15 to 223 of the family's 1533-position model. The record is from RNAcentral.
GAUCAUGGCUCAGGAUGAACGCUGGCGGCGUGCCUAACACAUGCAAGUCGAACGGAGUCGUUUUGGAAAAUCCUUCGGGAUUGGAAUUCUCGACUUAGUGGCGGACGGGUGAGUAACGCGUGAGCAAUCUGCCUUUAAGAGGGGGAUAACAGUCGGAAACGGCUGCUAAUACCGCAUAAAGCAUCAAAUUCGCAUGAUUUUGAUACCCAAAGGAGCAAAUCCGCUUUUA